AGAUUAAGUUAUUAAGGGCGCACGGUGGAUGCCUUGGCACUAGAAGCCGAUGAAGGACGUUACUAACGACGAUAUGCUUUGGGGAGCUGUAAGUAAGCUUUGAUCCAGAGAUUUCC
Molecule: ribosomal RNA, 116 nt
Filed under: Staphylococcus aureus
Lineage: Bacteria; Bacillati; Bacillota; Bacilli; Caryophanales; Staphylococcaceae
Description: partial 23S ribosomal RNA
Rfam family: Bacterial large subunit ribosomal RNA
Source: RNAcentral